RNAcentral lists this small nuclear RNA (131 nucleotides) under Rhinolophus ferrumequinum (greater horseshoe bat). RNAcentral describes it as "U2 spliceosomal RNA (ENSRFEG00010009853.1)". It matches the Rfam family "U2 spliceosomal RNA". From Rfam's summary of the family: U2 is a small nuclear RNA (snRNA) component of the spliceosome (involved in pre-mRNA splicing). Complementary binding between U2 snRNA (in an area lying towards the 5' end but 3' to hairpin I) and the branchpoint sequence (BPS) of the intron results the bulging out of an unpaired adenosine, on the BPS, which initiates a nucleophilic attack at the intronic 5' splice site, thus starting the first of two transesterification reactions that mediate splicing. The record is from Rfam by way of RNAcentral. Lineage: Eukaryota; Metazoa; Chordata; Mammalia; Chiroptera; Rhinolophidae.
AUUGCUUCUCAGCCUUUUGGCUAAGAUCAAGUAUAGUAUCUGUUUUAAUUAGUUUGAAAUUGUCCACUUCUGAUGUUAUGUUUGCUAAAGGAUCACUGAAUCCUGCUCCAGUCUCAUGGCCUGAACCCCUU